UACGAAGGGGACUAGCGUUGUUCGGAAUCACUGGGCGUAAAGCGCACGUAGGCGGAUCUUUAAGUCAGGGGUGAAAUCCUGGAGCUCAACUCCAGAACUGCCUUUGAUACUGGGGAUCUCGAGUCCGGGAGAGGUGAGUGGAACUCCGAGUGUAGAGGUGAAAUUCGUAGAUAUUCGGAAGAACACCAGUGGCGAAGGCGGCUCACUGGCCCGGUACUGACGCUGAGGUGCGAAAGCGUGGGGAGCAAACAGGG
Molecule: ribosomal RNA, 254 nt
Filed under: uncultured bacterium
Lineage: Bacteria
Description: partial 16S ribosomal RNA
Rfam family: Bacterial small subunit ribosomal RNA
Source: RNAcentral